This 440-nucleotide non-coding RNA is filed under the name uncultured Prevotella sp. Lineage: Bacteria; Pseudomonadati; Bacteroidota; Bacteroidia; Bacteroidales; Prevotellaceae. The record is from RNAcentral.
CUCACCGAAAUAUUCGCCAUCACCCAACAAGGCAAUGCGCAACUCCUCGCCAUGAGGCCCAUGACUAAUCACCUCGGCCUGCCCGCUGGCUACAAUAAAGAAUUUCUGCUUGUCCUUCCCUUCUUCAACGAAGAGUUUUCCUAGUCCUAUUUCCUGCGUCUCAAACGAACGCGCCAGCCGAUUCACUAUCUCGUCGUCAAACUCAGAGAACAGCGGAAUGGCUUUCAGGCUCUUCGCUGAGAACGAGGGCUCGCCGUUCAGGAAUUGAAUGGGCAGCCGUUCACUCUUACGAAGUUCCACCUUGGUGCGGUUCACUCGGAAUGUGCCGCCGCUCACCUGUACCCAGGGUAACAGUUUCAACAAUAGUCUCGGGGUGAUGCUGCCCAUUUGGGGAGCAGUCUUAGUUGUGGUCGCCAGUCUUCUGGCGGUGGCAGUUGUCA